Molecule: ribosomal RNA, 530 nt
Filed under: uncultured bacterium
Lineage: Bacteria
Description: bacterial SSU rRNA
Rfam family: Bacterial small subunit ribosomal RNA
Source: RNAcentral
CCUACGGGAGGCAGCAGCAAGGAAUUUUCCCCAAUGGGCGCACGCCUGAGGGAGCAACGCCGCGUGGAAGAAGACGGCCUUCGGGUUGUAAACUUCUUUUGGGGGGGAAGAGCAUGACGGUACCCCCCGAAUCAGCCCCGGCUAACUCCGUGCCAGCAGCCGCGGUAAGACGGAGGGGGCGAGCGUUGUCCGGAAUCACUGGGCGUAAAGCGCGUGUAGGCGGUUGUGUGCGUCGGUGCUGAAAGCGCCCGGCUUAACCGGGCGAGGCGUGCCGAUACGAUGCGACUGGAGGCAGGCAGAGGGUGGCGGAAUUCCGGGUGUAGCGGUGAAAUGCGUAGAGAUCCGGAGGAACGCCGGUGGGGCAGCCGGCCACCUGGGCCUGACCUGACGGUGAGACGCGACAGCGUGGGGAGCAAACCGGAUUAGAUACCCGGGUAGUUCACGCCGUAAACGCUGCCGGCUCGGUGACCGGGCGCCGUUUUAGGCGCCUGGGCGCCUUAGCUCACGCGGUAAGCCGGCCGCCUGGGAGA